GGUUAAGCGACUAAGCGUACACGGUGGAUGCCCUGGCAGUCAGAGGCGAUGAAGGACGUGCUAAUCUGCGAAAAGCGCCGGCGAGGUGAUAUGAACCCUUGACCCGGCGAUGUCCGAAUGGGGAAACCCAGUGCAAUUCGUUGCACUAUCGUUAACUGAAUACAUAGGUUAACGAGGCGAACCGGGGGAACUGAAACAUCUAAGUACCCCGAGGAAAAGAAAUCAACCGAGAUUCCCCCAGUAGCGGCGAGCGAACGGGGAGCAGCCCGGAGUCUGAAUCAGCUUGUGUGUUAGUGGAACGGUCUGGAAAGUCCGACGGUACAGGGUGAUAGUCCCGUACACGAAAACACACUUGCUGUGAACUCGAAGAGUAGGGCGGGACACGUGGUAUCCUGUCUGAAUAUGGGGGGACCAUCCUCCAAGGCUAAAUACUCCUGACUGACCGAUAGUGAACCAGUACCGUGAGGGAAAGGCGAAAAGAACCCCGGCGAGGGGAGUGAAAAAGAACCUGAAACCGUGUACGUACAAGCAGUGGGAGCCUCUUUAUGGGGUGACUGCGUACCUUUUGUAUAAUGGGUCAGCGACUUAUAUUCUGUAGCAAGGUUAACCGUAUAGGGGAGCCGAAGGGAAACCGAGUCUUAACUGGGCGUUAAGUUGCAGGGUAUAGACCCGAAACCCGGUGAUCUAGCCAUGGGCAGGUUGAAGGUUGGG
This 711-nucleotide ribosomal RNA is filed under the name Enterobacter cloacae subsp. cloacae GS1. RNAcentral's name for it is "bacterial LSU rRNA". It matches the Rfam family "Bacterial large subunit ribosomal RNA", at positions 1 to 756 of the family's 2925-position model. The record is from RNAcentral. Lineage: Bacteria; Pseudomonadati; Pseudomonadota; Gammaproteobacteria; Enterobacterales; Enterobacteriaceae.